Long non-coding RNA from Scophthalmus maximus (turbot), 1486 nucleotides. RefSeq lists it as uncharacterized. The record is from RefSeq and is a predicted model, not a curated record. Lineage: Eukaryota; Metazoa; Chordata; Actinopteri; Pleuronectiformes; Scophthalmidae. The transcript has 2 exons.
UCACCCGAUGCCAAGGCAUGCUGGGAUUGAACAGGGGAAAGCUGGCAGGUGUGGGAUGCCCGGCUUUGCUCGGGUCCAGACCUUUGACGGAGAGGUACAUGGACAGACGGGCAUCUCUGGCGCUUUAAUGAGGAGAGGUAUCACCUCCCAGAGGUUUGUUGUGCACUUCUGCUUGUCCUCCAAAAUGGCCGAUUAACUUCAUGGGCUUCCCAGCAUCCCGCCGCGCCCCUGUGUCGCUCGGUGUCUGUGUUUCCUCUGCACUUCUUUUUUUUUUUGUUGCUCUGAAGCUCCUGACUGCUUUUUUUGCUGUUAAAUCUGUGAUGGUUGUCCUCUUUCUCCCAUGUGCCUUAGUGUGUGUUUGUGUAUGUCUGUAAAUGAAGAACCCUGGAGGCAAACAAACAGACAGAUAGACUAUAUCUGUAUGUGGCAAAAAUGUGAGGAAUAAACAUACACAGACCAAUGCGAACAAAAAGAUGCGUAGUCAUAUAAAUUGCAGUGAAGUAAACUGCAGAUUCAGAUAUGUAAGACAACAGGGGGGGAAAAAAGGCGCAUUAGAAAUUAUGAGACAGACAGUAAGGUACAGAUGGCAGACAGAUGCCCAGACACACAGACAAAGAUCCUGGCGGGCAGAAGGACAGACAGACAAGUGGACCCUGUAGCAAUCAAGAGCAACAUCCCUCCUGCUCCCCCUGUGUCGUGAGGAUCAGGAACGAGAUUAACUUGGCACAAGAUCGCUGGCACGCUGACCAACAUACAGUAGGCAGCACUGAUUUGCAUCCGCUGACAGUCAGUAAGUCAUUCUGUGUAUUCAGUAUGUUGAAGACAUAGAUGAAGCAACACUCGGCUCUAAAAGGUUUUGUGUUGGUGUGACUGGCCUUUGAAUGUCGACAAAUGAGCCAAAGGGACAUUUUUUCUUUUGCUUCAUCUUUUCUUCCUUCCCCCGACUUCAACCCCCGCAGACACAUGCACUCCACUGAAUGAACAAUGCCAGAGUGCCAGUGCUGUCUUUACCACUUUCAUGGACUGAUGCUAGCACGUGGUGAGGUGCAGAGUUUUAGCAUGUGACUGGAUGUGUGUGUGUGUGUGAUCUAAAGUGUCUGUGGGAUUCUUUGUGGCAUGUAUCAGGGAUGAAGGACAAUAAAUUCAGCCAAUCGCUGUGCCCUGUGACCACCGAUCUGCAUGAGCGCAUGCAGUAAUAAAGGAGCAAGGCCAGCAUUGGAGCAGUGAUUUGAAUAUAAAUGAAUGUGAAUUUAAAUAAAGGGCUAUGUUUGAAUAUGUUAUGCUUUCAUCCAGGAAAUUUAUCACAACCAUCUGCAUAUUCAAGGCCUGGUGAUGGAUUAUGGUGGCAGAGAUGGAACGCUCCCACGGAAAUAAAAUAUCACCUAUGUAUUUCGGAAUGAUCCGCAUUGUGCGUGUGUGUAUGUGUUGUGUACUUGCAAAACAAAAAUCUGCAAGGGUCAUCUGUAGAUAAAACUCACAAGCAAAA